AUGGGACUUAGUGUGGACACCCCUUUCUUCACAUUAGAAUUGGAGCAUAGUGGACUAUUUUGUGGACCAAUAAAUAACAUGGAGUACUAUAAUCCUUCAGUGGAGGUGCUUGACUAUGUUGAGGCUGGCACAUUUUCAUAUGCAGUCAUUGAAGAGCACCUGCUAUGGUUGGGAUAUCGUGUCAAUGAGCACAUCAUUUAUUGGUGCAUGCCUGACAAAAUAGUUUCAGAUGGUAUGCUCAGAAUUAGAGGUGAUGAGGAUGUGAAGCAAAUGAUAACAGCUAGUGCUCAGCAUAAGGUUCUUGCAAUCAUGGUUGAUCAUUCAGAUUUCAUCAGUAAUUUCAGGCAAGAUUUGAUAUGUACAGUGGGCGUAAUAGAGAAUCCUGUCAGAGUGGUAAACCCAAAUGCUAUUGCAGCCAAUGCAGCUAGUUCUCACAGCAUCAUUUCAGUCAAUGCUGAAGAUCCAAUUUCAGAGUUUGCAGCACAUGAGACAGAAGCAGACAACUUGCUAGCUAAUGUUGCAGAAGAAGAGCAUUUGCUGACUAAUGUUGCACAAGGAGAGCACUUGCUGAUAGAUGUUGCACAAGGAGAGCACUUGUUGUUUGAUGUUGCAGCAGAAGAGCAUUUGCUAAUUGAUUUUGUUGAAGAAGAUCACUUGCUGACUGAUUUUGCCAAAGAAAAUCACAUGCUGACUGAUGUUGCAUAA
Molecule: ribosomal RNA, 705 nt
Filed under: Triticum aestivum (bread wheat)
Lineage: Eukaryota; Viridiplantae; Streptophyta; Magnoliopsida; Poales; Poaceae
Description: partial small subunit ribosomal RNA
Source: RNAcentral